UUUUAGUGGUGAACGGGUGAGUAACGCGUGAGAAUUUGCCUUUAGGAGGAGGAUAACGAAUAGAGAUAUUUGCUAAAACUCCAUAUGCCUUUCUACAAAGGUGAAAAAAGUAGUUUGCCUAAAGAGAAGCUCGCGUCUGAUUAGCUAGUUGGUAGGGUAAAGGCCUACCAAGGCGACGAUCAGUAAUUGGUCUGGGAGGAUGACCAGUCACAUUGGAACUGAGACACGGUCCAGACUCUUACGAGAGGCAGCAGUAAGGAAUAUUCUGCAAUGGGCGCAAGCCUGACAGAGCAAUACCUCGUGGAGGACGAAGGCCUACGGGUUGUAAACUUCUUUUCUCAAGGAGGAAGAACUGACGUUACUUGAGGAAUAAGCAACGGCUAACCCUGUGCCAGCAGCCGCGGUAAUACAGGGGUUGCAAGUCUUGUUCGGAAUUAUUGGGCGUAAAGCGUCUGCAGGUGGAUAAUUAAGUCUUUUGUUAAAGCUUUGAGCUUAACUCGAAAACAGCAAAAGAAACCAGUUAUCUUGAGUAUAGGAGAGGGAAAGGGAAUUCCACGUGGAGAGGUGAAAUUCGUAGAUAUGUGGAGGAACACCAACAGCGAAGGCACUUUCCUGGACUAUUACUGACACUCAGGGACGAAAGCUAGGGUAGCAAACCGGAUUAGAUACCCGGGUAGUCCUAGCCGUAAACGAUGGAUACUAGAUGUUGCGUACUUUCUGAGUAUGCAGUGUCGUAGCUAACGCGUUAAGUAUCCCGCCUGGGUAGUAUGUUCGCAAGAAUGAAACUCAAAAGAAUUGACGGGGACCCGCACAAGCGGUGGAGCAUGUGGUUUAAUUCGAUGCAACACGAAGAACC
This 856-nucleotide ribosomal RNA is filed under the name uncultured bacterium. RNAcentral describes it as "bacterial SSU rRNA". It matches the Rfam family "Bacterial small subunit ribosomal RNA", at positions 90 to 970 of the family's 1533-position model. The record is from RNAcentral.